UGUGUGUGUGUUUGUGUUUAUUCCCCCACCCUCUUGUCAACUGGUAUUGGUUUAUUCACAGCCCAAUAAAUUAACAUUUUGACAAAAACAAAAAAUAAAAAAGAGGUUGAUAGAAUUAAGUAGCAUACUUUUAAAAAGCUAAGUUCUGGGGUUGAUUCAUUUAACCCUUCAAGGUUGUGCCCCAGCAAGGCAAGUGUGUAAUGACAGAAACAAGAAAAAUAUGAAGAAUGGAAGAUUCAUUUUCUCUUCAUCACAGAAUGAUAAAAAGAAUUGGCUUUUUCCAUUCACCAGCAGCUAAUCAGCAUCUUAUACUUUGCCCAGUCUUUUUCCCAAGAAUUGCUUGACCCUUGAUCUUUCUUCUAUAUUUAAAGCCAUAGCAAUUCGAACUGAGUAUAAACCACAUUGAUGUCACUAAAUAAUCCUGCUCCACUGUAAUUCUAACUUAAUCCAUGUGGAGUCACUAAUGAAAAUUUCAUCUUCCAUGUUAUCUAGUGUAGCCUUCUUUUCUAAGAUGAUAGGGUGUGAUUUGAGUGGGAAUCAGUUACUAUAUGCAGGAAAGUGAUUGACUACAUAGAAUCCACCCAGGCUGAUUUGACCACAAUAUGGUAUAAUUCUCUGUUGUAAGCAGUGGUAAUGCUAUAUAUUUGGAUAUGCAGAAUAAGCCAUUCUGUCAAGCACCAUGUCACUGUAAACUAUAUAUGCAUGCAAUACAAUUCAAAUUCACUACAGUAGGUUAACAAAACACUCACAAAUUGAUACAAUGAUUUCUCUAUAUAUUUCUCCUUCAUAAUUAUUUGUAUGGUGGAUAGAGCCAUGAAGUCAGUGUUGCUUGUUAUAGAAUACAGCUUACUGACCCUCUUUCAAUGACAGCAGCUUUGACUCUACAUAAAUAUGUUGUGAAAUGUAAAAUAUCUUGGAGCUUUAACAAUAUCACCCAUGAAUGCUUUGUUUGUGAGUGUGUAAUAUGAUUUGAGAGCAAUUGACUGUGAUAAAGCCCUUUCUUCUACAAAGUAUUGUCUACAAGUUAACAACUCCCUAGUAAAUGGAGUAGAUUAUAACAUAGGUCUGUCAUGAGCAAAAAGACUGGAGUUUAACCAGGUUUCCACGGCAUGUAAUUGACUGAGAUUAAAACAUCCCCCACCCAAGAAAUAGGGCACCUGUUCUUCACAGGAUCAAUUUCCCAGCUACUCAUUUAUAACUAAGAGAAAAGGAACACCUGAUCUGGGAAUUGAAACCAUGAUCUCACAAUCAUGAGUGCAACACACUAACCACUGGACCAUAUACCUCCAUGGUAUAUGGAACAGGUGUAUUAAAAUGGUUCAACUAGGAAUCAAACCCUACAUUGUAGAUUCAGUUUGAUGGAAACUUGCUACUGCUAUACAGUGAAUACCGCCCACCAACACCACCAUCAUCACAACACACACACACACACACAUACACACACACACAGUAUACUGUCACUUAAGCCAAUGGUGCACAAUAUGAAUCAUACAGCUCAAGAGUGGGUCAUGAAAAAUCUUCAGUGGGCCACAGUGACACUUAUAUAAUUAGAGAAAAGUUACAUGCAUGAUGUCAAUAUUUUCUACAUUCACACUGAUUAAUUUGCUUAUGUUUUUUUUUUUUUUUUACUUAAUUUGAUAUUUUUACCUUUCAGAUAUGGCUUAUGUGAUUUGGAUUCAAUCUGUGUUAUAGCUGUUAUUCAUUUAUGUUUUGUUUUAUUUAAAUAAUAUUGUCAUGGACCACAGUCAUUAUAAAAUAUUAAUAUAUGCACUUGAAACAGCAUUAAAUUGAAAUCCCGGUAUGUAUAACAUUUAUAAUGUAUAUACAAAGGCAUAAUGGAAUUAGAUGUAAUAUUCUAUCUCAGAGAAACUUUUCAGAAAUUUCUUGGAGAUGUUGCUCUCUGAAAACUAUUACAGCUGAUGCUGUUUCACAUUUGUAUGUACAUUAUAAACGUUAUACACAUUGAUAUAUUGCAAAAAAGAAAAAAAAAAAGGAAAAAAUAGAAAAAAGAAUUGUGGGCCAUUCCAUAGCAUAUAAAAAAAAAUAUAGUUGUGCAUCACUGAAGUCUUAAACAUGUGACAUUUAAUUCAUUAAGUGAUGUUCAAGUUUUUAUUUAUUACAAUGUUCAGCAUGCCUUGUUUCA
Molecule: long non-coding RNA, 2143 nt
Organism: Octopus sinensis (East Asian common octopus)
Lineage: Eukaryota; Metazoa; Mollusca; Cephalopoda; Octopoda; Octopodidae
Exons: 2
Source: RefSeq, a predicted model, not a curated record